RNAcentral lists this ribosomal RNA (785 nucleotides) under Lecania cyrtellina. RNAcentral describes it as "SSU rRNA". It matches the Rfam family "Bacterial small subunit ribosomal RNA", at positions 1 to 1213 of the family's 1533-position model. The record is from RNAcentral. Lineage: Eukaryota; Fungi; Ascomycota; Lecanoromycetes; Lecanorales; Ramalinaceae.
AAUAGCUAAUUGCAUUAUACUUUAAUGCAAUAUCAACUCUGUUGAAUAAAAUUCUGGGUAUUAUUAUGAUAAUGACAAAUUUUACCUAUGUGUCUUGACCAAAUUACGUGCCAGCAGUCGCGGUAAUACGUAGAAGACUAGUGUUAUUCAUCUUUAAUAGGUUUAAAGGGUACCUAGACGGUAAAUAAAGCCUUUGCAUUGCGAUACGGAACUAAUUUACUAGAGUUACUUACAAGGAGGCUAUGAAGUACUAAUGGUGUAGAGAUGAAAUUUUGUAAUACCAUUUCUCGAAAGAGAAGUAACGGCACUGAUAAAGGCGAAAGCAUCCUCUUAUGUGAUAACUGACGUUGAGGGACGAAGGCUUUGGGUCGCGAAUAGGAUUAGAUACCCUAGUAGUCAAAGCAGACAAUGAUGAGUGUCAUAGAUUAGAUUUUUUAUUUAUCAUAUGAUUUAUUCUAUAAAUGAAAGUGUAAGCACUCCACCUCAAGAGUAAUUUGGCAACAUUGGAACUGAAAUCAUUAGACCGUUUCUGAAACCAGUAGUGAAGUAUGUUGUUUAAUUUGAUAAUCCGCAAAACACCUUACCACAACUUGAAUAUAAAUAAUCUUUAAAAAAGAUAUUUUUACAUGCGUUGCACGGCUGUCUACAGUUAAUGUCGUGAGACUUUGGUUAGAUCCAUUAAAUUAACGCAAGCCCCUACUUUAUUUUUAAAUAAAGUCGUUCCCCAUUAUAUUGGAUAUGAUAACAGGGACUAAGACAAGUUAUCUUGGCCUUAAUGUUGUGGG